AGUGAACGCUGGCGGUAGGCCUAACACAUGCAAGUCGAACGGCAGCACAGUAAGAGCUUGCUCUUACGGGUGGCGAGUGGCGGACGGGUGAGGAAUACAUCGGAAUCUACUUUUUCGUGGGGGAUAACGUAGGGAAACUUACGCUAAUACCGCAUACGACCUACGGGUGAAAGCAGGGGAACUUCGGACCUUGCGCGAUUGAAUGAGCCGAUGUCGGAUUAGCUAGUUGGCGGGGUAAAGGCCCACCAAGGCGACGAUCCGUAGCUGGUCUGAGAGGAUGAUCAGCCACACUGGAACUGAGACACGGUCCAGACUCCUACGGGAGGCAGCAGUGGGGAAUAUUGGACAAUGGGCGCAAGCCUGAUCCAGCCAUCCCGCGUGGGUGAAGAAGGCCUUCGGGUUGUAAAGCCCUUUUGUUGGGAAAGAAAAGCAGCAGGUUAAUACCCCGCUGUUCUGACGGUACCCAAAGAAUAAGCACCGGCUAACUUCGUG
RNAcentral lists this ribosomal RNA (492 nucleotides) under uncultured bacterium. RNAcentral describes it as "partial 16S ribosomal RNA". It matches the Rfam family "Bacterial small subunit ribosomal RNA", at positions 29 to 507 of the family's 1533-position model. The record is from RNAcentral.